RNAcentral lists this ribosomal RNA (497 nucleotides) under uncultured bacterium. RNAcentral's name for it is "partial 16S ribosomal RNA". It matches the Rfam family "Bacterial small subunit ribosomal RNA", at positions 28 to 507 of the family's 1533-position model. The record is from RNAcentral.
GAUGAACGCUGGCGGCGUGCCUAAUACAUGCAAGUAGAACGCUGAAGCUUGGUGCUUGCACCGAGCGGAUGAGUUGCGAACGGGUGAGUAACGCGUAGGUAACCUGCCUCUUAGCGGGGGAUAACUAUUGGAAACGAUAGCUAAUACCGCAUAAAAGUCGAUAUCGCAUGAUAUUGAUUUGAAAGGUGCAAAUGCAUCACUAAGAGAUGGACCUGCGUUGUAUUAGCUAGUUGGUGAGGUAACGGCUCACCAAGGCGACGAUACAUAGCCGACCUGAGAGGGUGAUCGGCCACACUGGGACUGAGACACGGCCCAGACUCCUACGGGAGGCAGCAGUAGGGAAUCUUCGGCAAUGGGGGCAACCCUGACCGAGCAACGCCGCGUGAGUGAAGAAAGUUUUCGGAUCGUAAAGCUCUGUUGUAAGAGAAGAACGAGUGUGAGAGUGGAAAGUUCACACUGUGACGGUAACUUACCAGAAAGGGACGGCUAACUACGUG